UGCAAGCAUUUCCUGACACACAGAACGCAGGCAGAAAAAGGAAAAACGUCGACUUGAGAAAAGCACAGCUUCCAAUCCCCACCCACGAGCUUCAGUCAAAGGGAUGACUUCAGUCCUUUUCUUAACUAAUCCUGUCACUGUAAAAUCCUACAGUCAUUCUUCCACACAUAAAGGGAAAACGGACUCACUAGGAGGACCUAGACUCGUUCAGCUUGAACUGUUAACCAAUGGUGGAAAUGCAAGAAUGCUGAAGUUGUGCCUUCGGAGCCAAUAGAGUGGAUUUGUGUGUCCCACAUGACUGUGUUUCCCCCGUCUUUCACAUGGGCAGUAUUUAGUUCAAUUCAGAACUGCAGAUAGUAUAGUGUGCAGAGCAGCAAUGGGAUGUCUGAGCACAAGUGGCUGACUUCCAGGCGACUUCAGGAAGCACAUUUAUAUAUUUCUCCUUAAUUAAACUGGGAUUCUGCACCCUUGACAUCCUCCGACCCUCCUUGCUUCUGCAGAAGGAGACGGUGACCUGCACAGCACAACAAAACUACAAAUCACCACAGAGCUGCAGACCAGCAAAUGAAGUGAAAAGGGGGCAAUUUGACCAACAUCACCUGUGUCGGUUACCCAGAAGUCGACGAAACAUGUUAUCGGGUUUCCAAGUUCCCCAACAGGCUAUAUUAAUGACACUCCGGCCUUUAGGUAUAUUGUGAUUUUUAAAGUGAUCAGAACUGGAUGAAAAAGAGUACAAGACAUCUUCCACCAAAUGACAAGAUAAACAGCAAUUCAUAGAAGACAAUCAUUUCUAUACACCAAGCUAAGAGUGGGCCUAGCAAAAAAGAACCCAGACCAGCUGAGCUGCAAGAUGACCUUCUGCAGAACUCUGCCCACAAAUGCAAAUAAGAAAGAAGUUUGGAAAACUGCCAACUCCUUGCACGAAGACUGAAAUAGGAUGAGCAGAGAAGGGUGUUGGUGUUGACAUUUUCAGAUGCUGUCAAGUCAACGGAGUUCUGUUGUAGUGGUUGCUUCAGUGAACAUUCAACGCUGUCGGCCUUAACACCGAAGAUAGCAACCUAACCACCACAUGAUAUUUCUCCCCCACCCUGCAAAGCUUUACAAAAAAAGGUCACAAUCAACAUUCAUUGCUGUCGGUGGGUUUAACUAUGUGGACAAGCUCACUGAACAAUGAAUGCAACUGUGGCCCCACAUUUUACAGUUGCCAUCGAGAGGAACAUCAGCUCUGAAAGCAGUAAUGAGAAGCAAACACUUCUUAUAGGCUACAUUUUUCUGGUUAAAAAAAAUAGUUCGGGGUAUUCACUUUUUGCUUGCUUGUUUUUAAGUGUUUAAUUUAGCUGACAAAUGUAAAACAAAUAAUAAUAAUAAAAUCACUGCCUUUUCCUUGAAUAUUGUCCUCCCAGGAUUCAGCAUCAUUGAAGCCAUAAAAAUUCUUAUUCUUUCUUUAUGUUGAAAUAAGCAAUAAUAUGGGGAACUUUGUGUGUAUCCGCUCCUAAGGACUCUGAGCAUAAGAGGAAAAAAUAUUUAAAUCUCAUUUUAACUAAGCGUUGUGGAAUAUUUCAAAUAUAUCUUCUGUGCUUGUCAUUACAAAUACAUACGGGAGACAGAGUUCAAAGAUAUAGAUAAAUUGUUCUAUUAAAUAAAAGGUUAGUUAAUUUUACAUUACUUAUUUUAAAUACCUAAAUAAAUACUAUUAGACAGCAAAUACUAUUUCAUCUGUCUUUUUUAGGGAUCUGAAAGAUGGCAGAGAAAUGUAUAUCCAGUAAUAGUAACAGAACCGUAGUUAAACUGUAAAAUUGCUGUAAACUUUGGGUACCUGUGUCACACUCUCAGUAUUGCUGAUGGUAAUAAGAAAAUAAAAGCAUAAAAAAGCUCACAACUUCGUCCUUAUUUCCUUACAACCCUUUGAGUCAGACACACAGACGGACUAGUCUACAUUUCUCACAUCACACAGUCAUGCAAGGUAAGUUCAGCAUUUAGACUUAGUGCAACUAAGUAUUCUGGAGUAGGAAUUACUUCCAAAAGUUAGGUAAUCACACAGCAUUCAUAUUGUCCCUCCUCACAAUGGGGUGUCCAUUAAGAAUGGUUUGAUUAUUUGCAAAGUUUCCUCAGUACAUCAGUUACACAACAGCCACCUCGCAUACUGUACUUUGCUUUGCCCAGAUUUCACCAUGCAGCAACUAAACAGGAUAGAAGCAUCAAAGCUAUCAUCUGAGAAUACAUCUGUAAUUGCUGCUUUGAACUUUGUGUUACCAGUCUACUUAAAUGCUAAAAGUGUAUUUCAAGCAUGUAAGAGAGAAGAACCCCUGGGGUCUACGACUCACUGGAAUACUACUGUGGUCAGAGAAACCUGAGAGAAAAUACUUAUCAAAAUAGAAGAUUCUGGAAUUUGGCAACAAUGGAAAGUAUCAGCACCCUGGAGCAUGGAUGGUUCUGUAUAUAUGUUUUUGAUGCAAAUUGAUAGCGUCUGAAUGAUUAGCACUGACAGGACAGAUCCCUGCGCAGGAAAAAUAUAAAGUUAGUUAUAUCCUUUUCUAAGGUGGUACUUUUCCUCAAAAUACAUGUUUUCCCUUUUUACUUCUAGCAUAGUUUUAUUUCUAUCAUAAUUUUGUUUCCUGCACUCACUACAUACUAAACAGCAACAAUCCAUAUCCUACUAGAACAGGGUGCAGAAACCUCAGCCAGUAUGGACCUGGGCACAGAUCAUCAGUCCACACUCAACAAAUAUUUUCACCUGGACUGCAAUUUUUCACUGGUUUCUGACAAACAGACUCGACAGCAAUGAUCACUUUUAUUGGUGCCUAGUAUAAUAUUUAUUAGUGAUUUUAGUGACACUAUGUUUUCAUAUAGAGACAGAAAAAGGACUUCUUAGUGUAUGGAUACACAAUAUUUCGCACAACUCAACUAGAAGUCAACUUCUAAAGAUCAGUAAUUUACAGAGUGUUCACUGGCAAAACAAUACAGUUAUUCCACACCCCACAAGAGAUUGUCUCACACACAUCUUUCCUUAUGCUGUAAAGCCACAGAACAAUCCCAUUUUGGUAACAGUAGCUGUGAAAUACUGUUGAAAGGAUUCAUGGUCAUUUUCAUGUUUGUGCUUGUUUGUUGGGGUUUUUUUUAAUGUGAUACAUAUGUACUCAGUGCAAUGCCCACAGGCCAUAUAGACAUUCUAGAAAAUUGUUCCUCAGUGUCACUCUAAAUAAUUCACUCACAGCAAUGUUUUUAGGUCAAGCAUAUCAAAGUUGCAGUAAAUGCGAUGGAGCUUGACAUAAUAGGAGCACUAGUUUUACAGCAGCAGAGAAGGAGAAGGAAUAUACUUCCAAUCCAUGAGACAUCAAUUGCUGUUCCCCAGUGCACGCGAUACUGUGCUUGAAGACAGCAGAGGUCGUACUAAGGGUUUGUUAGAAGGUUUGGAGUUGUUGUUGUUUGUUUAUUUUACUUAACCUCUAAGUGCUCAUUUUCUUUCCUGACUUCUGGCAUAAGAUGGGUCAAAACAUCUAACCCAACAGUUUCUGCAUUAAGUCUACAGCUUCUGUUUAGCCAUGACAGAAAUACAUUUGGUUUUACCUCUAAAACUACAAGUUAAAGACUUCCUAUGAUAGAAAUAGUCUGUGAUAUACAGGACUGUGGCAGGAUGAAUAUGUUAGACUCACUUUUUGGCACAGCCUAACACUACCACACUAACAUCUCUUGCUUUACAGAUGGUGAAGUGACAUAGAGGAAGUUAAAAAGUUAAAUAUAGAAGUAGUCUAUAGCUGAACUGGAAGCAGUAUCUAGAUGAUCUUGGACUCCUAUCAUGUCUUUCUGGAAACAAAACAAAACAAAAAACAAAACAAACAAAAACAAACAAACAAAAAAGAACCCUGUAAUCCUGGCUUUUCCCCUAAUGUGAACACCAUGUUUUUCUUGCUGACCACCCCCUGGUUUUUGUUUUGUUUUUGUUUGGUUGGUUGGUUUGGUUUUGGUUUUUUUUUUAUGUCUAUAUUUGUUACUGUGCCAGAAUUACAUGAUAGCUUUUUUUAAGCACUUGCAUAGUGACAUUUGGCCCAGAUUAAUUCUUACCUCUUGCCCUUUCCUGUAUUUAGGUUUGUAUAAUUUUGUCUUCAUUUUUUUUCCCUUUUUUCCUCCUUAAGUGCAAGCGCCAGAAACGCAGACCACAUUCCAAACAGUCCAGCCAAGGCCAGCUGAAAUAGUCUAAUGUCUCCUUAUUUUACAAGCAAUCACUGAUCCUUUUCAGCCAAAAAUAGCAUUUGUAAUGGCACCAUACAGUUAACACGUUUAAAUUUAUCUAACAUUAUUCUAUAGCUACAUUGGUGUCCACACACAUUCUUUCAUAGUUUGAAAUACAUUAUUUAAUCCCCUUAAAAUGCAGCACUUGCACGUUUUUGAACUUAGAGAAUGUUUUUCAAAAUACAGCUCCUACUCCCUCCUGGAGAAAAAAAAAUAAAAAUAAAGAUAAACUUCAAGAUGAAACUUAAAAUCUAUGGCAGCAUGUAAUAGUAGGAAUGAACUUUGAAUACAAGCAGAAGCCAAUCACGUUUUAGUAAAAAAAACCUUUACACUUGUCACUGUAUUUCAUUUCCCCCGUCACUUUAAUUUUAAAAGUACAGACUGCAAAAGGGUCAAUAGAAAAAAAAAAAUUAAAAAAAGUUUUUCAUAUAUAAAUGAGUUGCAUCUGCAAUGUGCGUAGACAUAAGAGAACCAUUAAAACAUUUGCUGUUUGUCACUAUUAGGAGAUAUUGCAGAUACUGUUGUAUAAUUUAAGCAAACAAUUUCUGGAAUGCAAAAUUUCAGUACUGUCCAAUAAGAAAUGUAUCAGAAGUAAAACAACAGUACUAUUUUACAUUAUGGCAUGUCAUUCUUUGUUCAUAUAGCAAGCAUCAUGGUUAACUGCCCCUCCUGCUGUCUGCAUCCAAAGUGUGUUUACAAGUUCAGUAUUUUACGUUGCCGUGUUAGAUGCUUCACUUUAUAACAACCAAUUGUCGCAAUCUGAAUGCACAAAUAUGUCUGACAAUAAUAUGUAAGAUAACAUUUAUGUUUAAGUUUAGGAAGUAUUGAUCUGAGGAGGAAGCAGGGAGAGUAUUCAAACUGUGCAGCUUCCAAAUACAGCUCUUCCCAAAAAAAUGAUAGAAUAAGCCAGUUUCUACAUCUGCUGGUUGCGAGACUGCCUUUGCAUUGUCACUGGAACCAAAAAUAGUCUCCUUCUCCCAGGUUUGGAUCUGAACUGAUACCAAAAAUUUAGGGAAUGCUUCAGGUGCAUAAACUCCAAUCCACACAAACCACAAAUUGCAACAGAAACUUUGUCUACGUUUCACAGUAGAUCAGAAAUAAGCCCCCUAUCUCUGCAGCUGGUCUAUACACCCAUGAUACAUAUUCUAACCUUUCCUCACUGUUUCAUGAGAUACAGCAUCUUCCAAGAUAGUCCUAAAAUUUUUGAUGAUGUUUUAACAAAGCCGCUUUAAUGCAUUUUAAGUUCGAAAACAGAUUAUCAUGAGACCUGGUGAUGUAAGUUGUUGUGUCACCUUUUGUUGGUUGUUUUGUGGUUUUGUUUAUUUGGUUUGGGGUUUUUAAAAUCACCAUUAUUUUCUCUAUUUGAAAUAUCACAGCAGGUGUUUGUGAUGAAAAAUGAGUCUAAAGUGGACUGGAUACCACAAUUCUAGGAUACUGAUGUUCAGACACCAGGUCAGGCAAAGAGGGAAGACAGGUUGAAAGUAACUUUCACCUGGCCAUUAAGAUAAUGGAAGUUUCACUUUGCACUCAAGAUAAACUACAAAGUACAUAAACUAUUUAUCUAAACUACACUGUCACCUAUGGGUAACAGCAAGUUAUCCAAAUAAUCAUGGUAUUAAGCUAAUGUUCUGUGAUUCUGUAAUUGAUUGCAUGGAUCUAUUAUUUAGUGAUUAAACAGUUAAAAUAUUUUAUCAUAGGCAUUUUGAAACACUGAAACAAAUAGAAAUACAAAAAUAUUAAUUUUAGCUAGUGAGAGCUGAGUCCAGGUGGUUGCCCUCAAAAGUCAACAUCACCAUCUGAUGUGUAAAACAUUCCUAAUUAUCAUAAAGUACACCCUGUGCUAAUCACCAUGUUUGCCACAAAAUAAUGAGCCAUGAUAAGCCUGGAGUUCACGAUGAUAGAUUUACGUGUAAAUGCCAUCCAGCUCACUGUCUCGGUAACAAUAUGCUGCUGGUUACCACACUGACAGGCAUGAUGAAAUCACUGCAUCCACUGUCCCGCAGACUACGGAGGCCAGAAACUGCUAGAGUGAUAGCAGAACCAGCAGCACUUUCAGACAGACAUUCAGGAAAGGGAAAAAAGACAGUACUUUAAGACAGCUGCCAGCUGUGGCCUACAGAAUAUCCUCAAGGAAUAUUUGUAGCCUCUCCAGGAAGAUGUCUGUACAUCCCCAAAACAAUUGCAGGAGAUAAUUCCACAAGUUCAUACGGAUCAUCACCUGCUAACUAAUGAACUCAGAUUCUCUGCUGGAUUCUGUCAACAUGCUUCUAUCGAUUUCAGUGGAAUUAUGCCAAUUUGUACAAGCUGAGGAUUGGGCAAGCAUAAGAGAAAUGUAAAAAUAUAGUCACACAUCUUACACUAAAUAAAAAUGCAAUCAGAGGUAGAUGUCACUCUUGGGGGAACACAGAGAGAGAAACAAAAGAACAUGUACUCGAAAUACACGUGAGAGAGAGCAUUUCUGCCCGCAGAAAAACUGUGGGUGGCCCUGGACACACAGCACUUGGAUGCCUAAGUACUCCAUUUGUGCAGAUUACUGUUUUGCAUGUACCAAUAGGGAACUUUAGAACACAACGGGCAGGAGAGUAUUCUGGGGCAAAAACAUCACACCCACACUAUGGUAAUCUGGCCUUUGCCACCACAUGACAGUCUCCUUCACUUCAUGAAGCUUGAGGUAUGUGGGUGGGAAAGAGCUCACAGUGUAUUUUUAUCCGACAGUGGCUCCCACAGCACAAGUGUAUCUACUUGAAGCCAUGGCAGCUAGAUUCCUCCCUUUCCCUUCACAUUGUGCAGUUUACGUCAUUGCACAUUAUUUUGAUACAGAGCUAGUAAAACUGAGCCAUUCAUUGGUUGCAACUGAGAGAAAAAAAAAAAAGGCAAAACAUCAUUACAUCAUUUAAAAUAUCUCUGUCAGAAUAUCCAGGAUCUUCUUCAUUUGGGGUGCAGCCCCCUCUGGUCCAGAACUAUGUACUGACUUUAGACAAAAGAUGUCUUAUAUUCUACAAAAUUUUAGACAUUGCAGGUAUGUGUACAAAUGCUUAAAACUGCUGACUUGAAGUGUCUUCUGAAAUGAGAUCACAUGCAUCAAGAGUAAGACAACCAAACUACAGGUCUGUACAAAGUGAAUACUAAAAACUGACAGUUAAUAGUAAAUUUAAAAAAAACCCAAAAAAGUACCAAAAAAAUUAAUACCUCCCCUUUUACCCCUCUCUCUGUUUGCUACACCAUCCAUCCCAUGUGGAUGCAGUCAUGCACCUAAAACACUCCAUAAAAACAAAACAAAAACCCACACACCACCACAAAAACGCCAAAACAUUAGGCUUUCUUCUUCUUUAUACAGACUUAUCUCUGUGGGAGUGUGACUUUUGCUUUAAACCUUGUACUGAUCUCUCAGGGACACUACUGUACCUGCUGCUAAUUAGUCAGGCACGUUGCUGAGGAGUAAUCAAAGUCUGAGACAUGCAAACCCGCACACUUUUUUUUUGAUAGAGCUUAGGUGCAUAGCGUUCCAGCUCAUUUUGUCUAGUGCUAGUGGUUCCUCUCUACUGAGAUGAGGUACCGGAGCCAUACUUUCCUGAAGAAGUAUUCCUGCCUUAUUCAUUUUCUAUGAGGACUCUGCCAGAUUAGUUCAGGGUUCCCCUGACAAAAUCAUCUACAAAGAAAUUCUGACUUGGAUGCCCAAAUCAAUAAAAAUUACAUUAGCAGCUUGCUGUGCUUGAGCUCACAGGGCACUGGUGCCACUAUCUUCAUCAUAACAGGAGGAGCCACAGUUUUAACAGGCCCUCCUUUCGUGUUGAGCAAUAAAGUUGGUGUCUCUGCAGUGCACAUAGAUGAAGUUGGUGUGUUCCCGAGCUGACUGCAGUUUACAUACCUUUGUUGUCACCUGAAGCUGUAACAGUUCUAAAGGGAGAGCAGAGACUCUAUAUUUACAAGCACAGAAAACUGCAAUGUGUGCUGAGGCUUUAUGUUCACUUUCAGAUUGUUGGCUGCUACAUUUCAUCAGCUCUUUCUAAAAUAAGGUUGCUCACUAACUGCUUUCCAAGCUUUCACAUAUGUAUCAUUUCCAUCAGCUACAAGUGUAAAUUUGCAAGCAAAGGGAACACACACACAGUCUGAUGGAAUCUGUAUAGAAGGUAAAGCUGUCACCAGAUGGCAUUUUUAAGUUUUGUGCAGCAAGAUAUUCAGAAGCAGCAUCUGAAUUUUGGAUGCUUCACUUUAUUUUUUUGGAUACUCCCAAAACACAGCAUUUGUUCCUAGAAAUAACUCUUGUGAUAUUUUGCGGAUAAACCUCUAACAGCUCACUUUUCAUGACUACAUACCUAGACUAUAAGAGCCCUAAAUUAGUACUUGGGUAGAGACCACUCAAAAAUUCAGUCCAUAGUGUCAGUAAAUAAACUUUUUAUGAAUGUAAUUUUGAGUCAGCCCUAACAGUAGCAAAAAUAAGUAGGUUGCAUGUUCCUUUCCUACAGGGAAAAGUUGCCAAAAAUAUUUAACUGUCACUUUUCAUCUUCAGAACAAUGUCAGCUACUGAAAAAAAAAGAUUUGCAAUGAGCAAUUAUGUCUUCAGCUUUCAUGUCAUUUUACAUCAUUCCACUACCAGCCAUGCUCAAAAGCUUAGAGGCAACAUUCUAGGUCAGUGACUUUUGCAGACAGUGUAUUUGCUGUUUGGUAAUUAAAUUAGAUACCCUUUAAAUAACCAGAUUCUGAAACAGACAGCCACUUACAAACACAUGACCGAAUGUAUCACUGGCACUCUUGACACUGGAUGAGGAAAAUCAAACAUGUUAGCAAUCAUUAUCUAUCACUGAGGAUUAUGCAUUUAAGGAUUAUGAUAUUAAGAAUAAGUGGAUCAGCAAAUCACUGCAGAGAGAAAUCUUUAAGAUGAAGCUAAAAGCCAGGCUGAAGGACUGACCUACUUUUCAUCAUUCAGUUUUAUUUAUACACGUAUAGAAUUUUUUCUUAUGUUAUGAUUAUCAAAAUACUUCUCCAACUAAGAAAGCUCUCAACUGCUAAUAAAACUAAAAAGAGAAUUAAGUACUGCAGUAGGUGCUCAGCUUUUACUUUUAAUAAGGUUUUAGCUUGCAUCUCAUGCAAAUAACCACUGGUGCUGUUUCAGCUAAAACAUUAAACAGCAAAAGAGAGACAUUAAUUUUCACUUGAAAUAGAAAUUUUUGUGAAUAAAUUAAGACAUUUACUCUCAAGGUAAGACUUAAAAUAGAAAUUCUAAAAAAAAAAAAAAAAGUGUAUUUCAUACCCAACAGGGCUCAGAGGUGUCUACUGAGUAAAAACUACAUAGGUUUUUUUGUGUUUUCAAGACCUGGAUUUGGAGAUGAACAUUAAAAAAAAAAAAAAGUCAGAAAAAGAUCUGAUGGCUGCUACAAGAUGUGUUCUUUGUAAGAGUAGUUUUCGUCAUUUCAAGGGACAGAGAGCCCUUUCUGAUUAAAAAAAAAGAAAAAAAAAAAAAGAAAGAAACAAUUAAAGCAAUUUAUAGAUGUACUAUAAAAAAAAAUCAUUUAGCCUUCAUUUAGCGUAUGUUUAAGGAGUGAUGUUAAUGGAUCAAGGCAUGCAAACGAUAGCAGAGCACAGAAAGAACACAGCUUGAAGCUGCAGUCUGGUAAGUCAUGCAAGUGGUUCCACAGCAGAGGCUAUUGGGGUUCCCCAGUUCAAGCAUACAUUCUUCAGCCCACCCACAAGGUUCAGCUCAGAGCUCUUGGUAGCUUAAUUCCCUUAUCAUCUUGCUGACAAUCAGCAUUCAAGUGGAAGUCCUCAAUUUGCAACAACCAUGCAAAAAAAGUCCAAUUUUAAAAUCCCAUUUAUCUUCUCUUCCGGAGUCUGACCAAUCGGCCUUUUAUUUCAAGAUAGACACAAACUACAAGACACUAUCAACAGUCACAGAUUAUGAAAAUACCCAAUCUACCUAACUGUGCCUGCCCACCACUGUAAGGUCAUCCAAACCAGCCCCACAAGCUGAAGAUGACAUGGUACGAUUAUAGUGUUGCCAUAGUUUCUUCCAAAGUACUGAGCUAGAAAAUCAGUCUAAAUGUUUACCGGCAUCACUUUGGUUGAAACACAUGGAAAAGAAUCACUUAAGAAUGAGGAAAAUGCAACCUACUACAUGUAUAUUUCUGACUAUUACAAAACAUUGAAACUGAACAAGUGGUUUCUGUGUCCCACCCAGUGCCAAGGGUAGAGGUUUGCAGUGCUGCCACAUCAGCUGCCCGCAGGUGUUGCAAUGGGUGGCUGUGUAAAGCAUCUAUUCAUUGAGCUCUGUCACUCCAGUUACAUAUUCUUUAUGGCAAUGAAAACAGAGAAAACAAAAGCCAGUUAUGCGUUAACUUCAGAGCCUUCAUACCCAAAAACUUCAGCUCUGUGCCUCGGGCAGUGCAGCCCAGAAGAGGCACGGCAUAGUCUCAGGUAUUUUUCUGCUCCAAUAACCUGUCUCUGCAGCGCUUACAAAAGAUUAAAAAAAAACAACAAACCACCUUGAUAUAGGUACUGAUAGCAGAAGGUCAUCUGACAUUUGUCAUUUGACUGACAAAUUUUAUUUUUAAACUUUCCAAGUUCACAGGAAGGCUUUUUUUUUGUGAAAGGUCAUAAAAGGAAUGCUAAAUUUAUCUGUAGGUGCUGCAAGAGUCAAUGCACAAGAAGCGAGGAGAUGCUGUUCUUUCCAGUUUGCAGUUCCUGUUGGAAUUAUUCUGCAGUUGCACCAAUUUCCUCUUUGUCAGGGUAAAGCUUUUAUGAGAUCCCUAAAGUCUGUGUGCAAUAUUUAUUCUGUUAGUCUAAUUAAAGGUAUUACUACAUACAAAGUUACUGGAUCUGUCCCCAAUGACACUUCAUCUUUGUUUUGUUCCCCCCCAACUGUUAAGAGUUCAUUAAAAAAAGUAAUCUGGCUUCCAGCAAACUUAUGUUCUACUUUCAUCUAGAAAAGCAUAAAUGUCUUGAGCCACAACGAUGCAGUAACCACAGCACUCACCUUUCCAACUGUCUACACACAUCAGCUUCUAGUAAAUGGAGUAAUAUGUAGCAUCAGUCUGUGGUGACUUUUAUGACUGGGAUCAAAACAGCUCCAUCAACUAGCGAGUGUGAGUAUUACCUUUACCAUCUAACCAAGUGAGAUUCCAAAAUUAGAAGUACAGAAGGUAUUUCUGAUGAUCAGAAAGAUUUAACAUCUCUCUUCUCAUUGAAAAUUCUAUUUGAAAUAAAAAAUGAAUGCUUCCAAAUCUAGUAUUACUGUACACAAUGUACAGUAAUUUGGUAUCUCACUAAAUUUUUCAAAAGAACAUUGAGGCAAAAAAUCCCUCAGUUCUCACCAACGAGACACUAGGGAAAAUUAAAAUAAGGUUGCAUGACAGGUUCGUUUUUUGUGUCAUUUGAUACGGACUGACCCUGUAUUCAGUGUAACUUUAGCUAAGAAAUCAUUCUUCUCUCAGAUCACAGUCUUGAGGAACAUAUAACAGCAGUUAAACAUGCAAUAAACCAACCAAAGCAUUUAGUAUAGCAACUGGACAUCCCUGUCCCCUGACAACAAAUUAAUGAAUUAACCAGAAAAUACAUUUGCUCAGAAGAACAAGCCUUUUGUGAUUUCCAGUCAAAUUGCAUGAUAAAUGUGAAUCAAAACAGACAGGAGAAAAAUUGGAAUCUUAGAAGCAUUUGUUUCAGUAUUUUAAAGCAAAAACAUGGAACAUUUUUCAUCUAGAAUAACCUCUUCUUAAUACAGAUUAAACACAUAUAAAAUAAUUCCUAAGUUAAAAUAUUAUUUUCAGACCAUGUAUUUGAGUUCACCCAAAAGUAAGUGAUGGGAAAGCUAACCCCACCUUCUCCCAUCUGGUUUGCUUUGUCCUGAAACCAUUUCCUCUCUCUUCCUCUCAAAUGCACUAAUUCAAUCACUGAACUGAAAAAGUCCAGCUUUAUUUAACAUCUGUACUUCAAUGCACAUAUGUAACUGGGAGAUUGCAAAGCCUUUUGCUAAGCAGUAUUCAAUUACAUUUUGCAAAGAACACCUUUAAAUUUGUUAGGAUUUUGAUACAUGUUGACAUGGGUAGUAAACAUAAUAUGGAUUCUGUCCCCAGACUACCAGUUAAUUUUCUCUAGACACCACCAAAGAAAAAAUUUGGUAGUGGACAAACCAUCACUUCAGGGAAUGUACUGCACAAUAAAUUGAGACAGAGCUGAGUCCCUUUCUUGCUCCCGUUAGAGUCCUUCCACUGCAGUAGGCUUUGCCCCUUGUUGCCACCAUGACACCCCAGAUUGUAUCUUCACCCAAAGAGUCAUGCAAGACCUCCAAAAGCAUAAGAGCCAAUAUCCACGUAAAAAGUCAGCACUAUUAUCACUUGGACAAAUUAAAUAUUGCAUGGUAAAAGCUAUUUCAUUGGAUCCCAAGGCUACAACUGAGGCAAGCAAAGCAGAUGUCUGUUUGCUUUAUAAACACUACAGAAAAGCACAAAAGCAUAAGCAAAAAGUUGAUGUCAAUGCAGAAAGAAUUUUCCCUUCAUACCAAGGAAUUACCAGAAUCUAUGCAUUUUUGGCGUACCCAUAAAAAUAGUAUUUACUCAUAAUGAAGCUUAAAAUAAAAUGCGAAAGGCAAUGACAACCAAAAUAUGAAAAUACAGGGAUAAAAUAUGUCAUUCGAUGAUCUCUCAUUACCACUCAUUCCCUUUCCUCCCAACAAUUUCCAGGCAUAUUGACAAGCAAGUCUCUCCUUACUGUAUGAAUCUUUAUUCAAAAUCUGAAAAGCCUGUCCAAACUACACAGCAUCUGUUAAUCGUGCUUUGGAUCUCCAAGGUCGAGUGGUGGUUGCAUGGUACAAGGUGAUACAGAGCAGCCUUUUUAUUCACUUGCAGCUUGACCAAAAUUAAUUUAGUUUCUACAUUUGCCAGUUUUAAGAAGUUUGAAAAAAUAAGGUCCUUACGAGAGAAAGCUAAGCUUUUAUCAUUCAUAAGCAGCAGCAUGGAAACAUGCCUCACAAAGCUAUUUGAGAGUAACCAGGGUUCUACUGCAUUGGAUAAAGAAUGAAGUCAACUGUGGGAUGAUGAAAGCUGGCAAAUUAAGUAAAAUUUUGCAGGGUGAUUUCAACUACCACGGUGGUCUGUGUGAGACAGAGAAAACUUGCUGUUAGUUUAUUAAUUUAAUUUUGGGGCUGGGAUUUUCAGUGUUUUAGGAGUAAAAACUGAAUACAUUACUAUCUUAGUCACCUUUGAAAAAAUCUAAGUAAUAAUAAAGUAAACAAGAAGAAUCUGGAUAAACGCAAUCCAUUAUUUUAGCUCUGAGAAUCCACUAUUUGCUUUUUUCUACCCAGGCAAUUGCUCAGGUACUGGAAACCUGGCAAGAUGACCUGCUCACUUUCCAUUAUGCAGGGAAAACCACCCCAUUCAGCCUCAUUCCAGAGCUGUUACCCUUACUCUAAAAACAGAAACUGAAAUGAGAUCAGUGGUACUUCUUUCAUCACUGCUUCUGGAAAAUGUUUUUGCUUGAUGUGUAAUACUCAUUUCAACAUUCCAUCUGAAUGCUUUUGAUAUGAAAAUCCCCAAAUGAUAGCACAUAUGAGCACAGAACAACUAAAUCUACACAGCAGAAGACAGAAGAGAGCAUGAACUGGCAUCAGAAAUCUGGACUGCAAUUUAACGUAACUUGUAGUUUGUUGGGUUUUGUGUGUGAGGCUUUUUGUUUAUCUGGGUUCUUGUGCUUUUGUUGUGGCUUUUGUUUGGCUUUGUUUGUUGUUGUUUGUGGGUUUUUUGUUUGUCUUGUUGGUGGGUUUGUUUGGUUUCUGGCAUUUUUGUGGAUUUUUUUUUUUUUUUAGGGGAGCAGUGUUAAGAUCAAAGAGCGAAUGAACAUGGGAUGCGAGGUAGAGCUUCUUUGGCAAAGUACACAAAGUACACACUUUUCUUCAAAAGAAAAGAAACCAAAACCAGUCUUAAUUCCUUAACAUAUCCUAAAAAUACAAUGUGGAAAAAAUGACAGAAGUCAGUUAUCAGGAAAUUUUCUGGAACCUGGUUUGCAACAGAGAAUUUAUCAUGCAUUCUUGUUGCAUAUUAUCUCAUUACAGUAUGUAUAAAGUUGUCCAGACUUACACAGAACAAGAUUUUGAAUCUCAGAACACUUUAUUCACUGCUGAGACAUAAGGGUGGCCCAAGGCAUCAGUGAACAUGCCUGUACUGGUUUCAGCAGGGAGUUUGCCCUAGUGACUGAGCAAGCCAGCACCCAAACACCCUGGGCACACAGGGAAGUUAAAGACAUCAGUUUGCUGUUCAGGUGACCUUCUUCAUCUUACACACACACAAGCAGCAUCACUAAGGAAUCAAGUGGUGACCUUAUCAAAAUGGAGACCAAAAGAACCUGACAGAGUAUGUUGCAAACCGGAAUAUUUUUGCUGUGUCUGCCACGGCCUCUACACAAUCAAGGAAGGAGUCGUGCAGCCCCUUGCUGGAAGACCUUCAUUUCAGCCCAUGAGUAAUACCAGGAGCGCUUCAGCACAUUUGGGUUUGCUGGCCCUCCAGUCAGCUCCCAAACCACAAACGGUGAUAACACUGGCAGCUUGUGUUCCUGAGAUAAUCUCAAAGCUUUUCAACAAGAAGCCACACAACCUCAUGACAUAGACAAUAUCAUUAUGAACUUCAAACACAUAACAGAUCUAUUGAAAAAAAGGGAAAAUAUGAAAUGCAGAAUGUUAACUUUGGAAACAAAGUAAUUGUGUCAUAGACUACCCUUAAGCCUCUAUUUCAACAUGUCAUUGGAGGAGGAAGAUGUUCCUGAAUGGUCUUCCCUUAAAGAAGUGGCUGGAAAAUGCACAUGGUAAACAAAGUUGAAAAGAGAAAAUACAGGAAAUUUAAGUGUCAGCUACAGCAAUUUUAAUGCUAUGCAAGAUUCAGGAAAAAAAGGUUAAUAUAAGUUGAAUUAAUCAUGUUAGGUUCAAUAGAGUAUGGAAAUUAAAGUCUGAGGAUUCAAAAUCAUGCUUAAUACUACAUAAGGAUUACUCUUAAAAAAAAACCCAACCACCUUACUACUCUUUGAUAAGUCUAAGAACUUUCCAAGCACAGAAAAUGACCCUGUUAAAACACAGAUAAAAUACCCAGCUUUCAAGUAGUAUUUAAAUAUGUGUUGUAUUAAAUUGGUUGAGUGGGAAGCCAAAUCUUUAUUGGACUGCCCACCGUGCCUCAAAUGUACAUUAUUUAAAGUAAAUCAAAUAAUCAAUUCAGUUAAGUCAAGGUAUGGCUGAUUAUUAUCAAUUAUUAUCAAUUUGAUUAUGCAACAUUCCAAUAAACCUUUAUUCAAGAGCUCACAAGUUCCUCAUUGCUCAUCAGGCAUGCAGAGAUAGGUGUUAAUUAAGAAACUCCUCACUCACACAACAAGAGCUGCUAUAACUUAAAAAAAAAGUGUCCUUAAAAAGAAAGAACUAUCACUUGGUAUUUUUAAACAGCUGUUAAACACAGGGUCCCAUUUCUAAAUCUGUAUUCUCAACAGCUCUCAGAAAUGACUGGUACUUCAUAUCACACACUGGAAAACUUCACCCCUUAAAGCGAUCUUUCACACAUUGCUUCUGUGCUUAUCUAUAAAUAUAAUGAGCAAUCAGCUCCCACAGUGAUGCCUUACUGUCUGUCUAGAACUACUCUUCUAUUGUAAAAUUUUCAGACAGUGCCUUUGCCCGUUAAUAAACAAAGCAGUCAAGCUUGCUUCUUUUCACUAGUUUAAUCUCAGAAUAUCUAGGCUGCACACAAGCUCGUAUAUCUUUAUGAGCAACUAUUUGGCACAGAAACAAACUUUAUUAAAGAUCUGAAUUUCAAGCUACAAAUCAGAAAUUGACUCUUUUAUGGCCUUUCUUUAUAUACAUAGUACAAAGCACACCAUUAAUAAACAAACACAUGCCCUAAACUCCCAGAGUCAGCUUUAUAGCAAAGCUGUCUUUAUGAACAUGAUGUUAUAUCUCUCUCAAAACCCACGUUUGCUGACGAGAGGAAGCUGUGUGGCAGACUACAUCUGCACCCAUAUUGUCAGAACAUACAUAUAUAAACCAGAGACUACUGUAAAUGUAUAUGCACAAAAAUAUCUUGUGAUACAAUGCUUAAUUUCAUAUCCGUUCAGCCAUCCCCCCCUAUGGAGACAUGGCUGCGGAUCUCUUAUUUCUCUUGAGUUUGUCCGUCCAUGUUCUGAAUUUGAUAUCUACUUAAAACUGUUUUGAAUCUAAUCCAUUAGGGGUUAAAAAAGCUCUUAUGAAGAGGCUUUUAACCAUUGGAGCUCUUACCAUGGCAUUGGAAACAUGGGUGGCAUAUUAAAUAGUUACACCACCAGAUCCAGACAAAAUCCCAUUUGAGGCAGAAGCUGGGACCAGCUACAGGAAAAUGCUAAUAGGCAGUCAAAGACAAAGUCCCUGGAUUCAAGCAGGGCAGACAUUCAAUGCCGCUUUCCACUUCUUGCAGAUGCAUUUAGGAGAGGCACCACCUGUUUCCCCAGAUGUUUACGUGCUUCUUUAGAAGAUAACUAAUCAACCAGUUAAUCAACCCUAAUUGUGUUAUGUGAAUUUUACAAUUAAUGGAUAAUCCACAUGGAAAACAACCCUGAAACUUACUGUGUUUUAUCUACCCACAGUAGUCCCACGAAUUUCUAAAAGUUACAAGUGCAUCCACGCUUAAAAGAAAUUAUCCUGAGGCCAAACUGAAGUAAAACCAUUGAAACGUUUUCAGGGAAGCUAUACAUUAUGUAAGUUAUUGUACAGCUUGGCCCUCUUUUUUCCAAAGAAGUUUCUCAACGCCAAGAAAGACAGCACUCUGUUGGCUUUGCAGGGACUACGGUUAUAUAUUAUACACUAUUCUAGUCACACAGCCUGAGAUGAUUGAGGUUACAUAGCUGCCAUUUUCUUUGUUCCUGCUAUUAAAGGCAAACUAAAUGUGGGAUAUAAUGAAUGAAAACUGUGACUUGUUACUAAUGUAAGUAGAAAUACCUAAAGAAAAUACAAAAAAGAAAAAUCAGCUAAACCAAUCUUAGAUGCAUACGCCUAGGUUUAAUACAAGCACUUUCAUUAAAGUAUCAAUUAAGCAAGUUUGAGAAUAUUUUGUAGUUUAGGAACCUAAGCAAGUAUUUCCACCCUGUAUAAUGAAGCAGGCAACUUAAAAAACAGAUCUGUCAAAAGCCAGUUGAUAUAUGGGUACUUGCACUUCAUACACAUUUGCUAGCUUGUAGUUGAGAUCACCUGCACUCAUUUAAAUCUAUUGCUUUCCUUUGUAGCAAACAGCAAGAAGAAAUUUAAUUGGUAUUUGGUUUAGGAUAUUUUUUGUAUGUAUUAAUACAUUGGUUCAACUUCUUGGCUAAAUUUUUUUGACCAUCCCUUACUAUAGGGGACCUGAACAUGAAGACAAACUGAAUGCAUGCCGUUUUAUUUACACAGCUUUUUGUAUGUUUAUCACCAGCUUCUAGUUGAAGGGAAACUUACAAUAGUUACGGAAGAAACAUACCCUUUCUGUCCCAAAAGCAUGUUUUCACAAAUAUAGGAAUAUUCAAGUUACAUAUCUAACUUUUUAUCCCUGACCCCUCUUUUUUUCAGAGCCCUUUUCUGUCUCUCGUCGGGUGCUGAGUCCUUUUCUUUUAAUUUCUCCUAAGUAAUACACACAUUUAUUUGAUUUUCAUUUGAGUCAGAUUUUUAAAGCCAAACUGUGCUCAACAACAGCUACAAGCAGUAGAUUCCCAUUCAUAAUUUUCUUCAAACCCUAUACUAAAGAGAGAGAUUUAACUCACACAGGUUAUUUGUCUUGUAUGAUACAUGGAUAAGGCUUUUUUGUAAUGUCCAUUUCAUACACGGUUUAUUAUUUGUUCCCAUAGCAUACACACAGUGUUAGGUGGCUGAGAACAUAAAUUAUUGCAGUAUUCUCAGAAACAAAGUUCACAGCCCAUCUGUGUUAACUAAUAUGUUGAUUUUGUUUCUCUAAUUUAUACAAGUCACUUCAUGACUGAAUUUUUCUACCAAUCUUACUGGAAAAAUAAGGAGUAGAUAAACGCCAUCAUAUUUAAGCUUUUGAUUAUUUGUAAGACUAGGUUCUCAAACCUGACUUCAUACCGGAGACAGAAUUUAACUCCACAAAAUGGAAUAAACUUGCUUCCCACUCUCCACCCUUAAUCCCAGCAACUGCCAAUAAUGAUUUAAGGUGCAGCCCUGAUAAAAUAUGAAUGCAAGUUAGGUAUUCACUAUUUACUUCACACUUCCUUGUUCAUGCUGCGGAGGUAACAUUGAAAGUUUUGCAGUCUAAAUAGAAUUUCUGGCCCUACUGGUAAAGAAAAAAAAUAAAAUCUUCCUAGUACCAAGACAAAUUGUAUCUACAAUUAGAUUAUCAGCAUUGCACACCUUCUAGAAGGAAAACCACGUCACUGAAGAUUUAUCUUCCCUAAAAAGCAUUAAACCAGCUUCAGCUACUUUUCAGAGGCCAGUUUAGCAUAAAAGUAUGUAUCCUACCCAAGCUCAUAAUUUUUAACACCACCGGAAAAACAAAUGCU
Columba livia (rock pigeon) is the source of this 18702-nucleotide long non-coding RNA. RefSeq lists it as uncharacterized. NCBI's taxonomy places the organism in Eukaryota, Metazoa, Chordata, Aves, Columbiformes, Columbidae. The transcript has 8 exons. The record is from RefSeq and is a predicted model, not a curated record.